ACGAACGCUGGCGGCAGGCUUAACACCUGCAAGUCGAGCGCAUCCUUCGGGGUGAGCGGCAGACGGGUGAGUAACGCGUGGGAAUCUACCUUUUGCUACGGAAUAGCUCCGGGAAACUGGAAUUAAUACCGUAUGUGCCCUUAGGGGGAAAGAUUUAUCGGCAAGAGAUGAGCCCGCGUUGGAUUAGCUAGUUGGUGGGGUAAAGGCCUACCAAGGCGACGAUCCAUAGCUGGUCUGAGAGGAUGAUCAGCCACAUUGGGACUGAGACACGGCCCAAACUCCUACGGGAGGCAGCAGUGGGGAAUAUUGGACAAUGGGCGCAAGCCUGAUCCAGCCAUGCCGCGUGAGUGAUGAAGGCCUUAGGGUUGUAAAGCUCUUUCACCGGAGAAGAUAAUGACGGUAUCCGGAGAAGAAGCCCCGGCUAACUUCGUG
Molecule: ribosomal RNA, 432 nt
Filed under: uncultured bacterium
Lineage: Bacteria
Description: partial 16S ribosomal RNA
Rfam family: Bacterial small subunit ribosomal RNA
Source: RNAcentral